UACGUAGGUGGCAAGCGUUACUCGGAAUCACUAGGCGUAAAGCGCAGGUAGGAGGUUUAGUAAGUCUGUUGUGAAAGCUCCCGGCUUAACUGGGAGAGGUCAACGGAAACUGCUAGGCUAGAGUGUGGUAGAGGUAGCUGGAAUUCCCGGUGUAGCGGUGAAAUGCGUAGAUAUCGGGAGGAAUACCUAUGGCGAAAGCAGGCUACUGGACCAUCACUGACUCUGAUCUGCGAAAGCUAGGGGAGCAAACAGG
This 253-nucleotide ribosomal RNA is filed under the name uncultured bacterium. RNAcentral describes it as "partial 16S ribosomal RNA". It matches the Rfam family "Bacterial small subunit ribosomal RNA", at positions 524 to 776 of the family's 1533-position model. The record is from RNAcentral.